Andrographis paniculata is the source of this 295-nucleotide long non-coding RNA. RefSeq lists it as uncharacterized. Lineage: Eukaryota; Viridiplantae; Streptophyta; Magnoliopsida; Lamiales; Acanthaceae. The transcript has 4 exons. The record is from RefSeq and is a predicted model, not a curated record.
CGGACCUUCCGACCUGAAGACCUUCCGACUUGAGGUCUUUCCAUCUUGAGGGCCUCCCGACCUGAAGACCUUCCGACCUGAGGUCUUUCCGUCCUGAGGACCUACCGACCUAAGAACCUUCCGUCCUGAGGUCUUUCCGUCCUGAGGACCUACCGACCUAAGAACCUUCCGUCCUGAGGACCUACCGACCUAAGAACCUUCCGUCCUGAGGUCUUUCCGUCCUGAGGACCUACCGACCUAAGAACCUUCCGUCCUGAGGACCUACCGACCUAAGAACCUUCCGUCCUGAGGUCUU